AUCUGUGUCUAUACAAUCUUUUUUGUGUGUACUUUUUUUUAUAUUCAGCGAGAUCCACCUGAAGAAGAAAUACCAUUUUGCACAAUAAAGUCUUUUCCAGCUGCUACUGAACACACAAUACAGUGGGCAAGAGACAAGUUUGAAAGUGCUUUUUCACAUAAGCCUUCCCUGUUUAACAAGUUCUGGCAAACCUAUCCAUCAGCAGAAGAAGUGUUGCAGAGAAUAAAAUCUGGGGAAAGUUUAGAAGGCUCUUUCCAAGUGAUUAAGUGCCUGGGUAGAAGACCAAGAAACUGGUCCCAAUGUGUUGAAUUGGCAAGAUUAAAAUUUGAGAAGUACUUUAAUCAUAAGG
Non-coding RNA from Notechis scutatus (mainland tiger snake), 349 nucleotides. The record is from RefSeq and is a predicted model, not a curated record. NCBI's taxonomy places the organism in Eukaryota, Metazoa, Chordata, Lepidosauria, Squamata, Elapidae.